AAGUGUUCUAACUACAGCAGUUUGCGAAAUAAUAAGAUCUGAAAGUAAAGUGUACACAUAUUUUUAUGUGGAAAACACCUGGGCUCAAAAGGUGAAAAAACCGCGACCUACUACUCAGUAGGAUUUUCCCAAACUCCACAAAAAUCAAUGAUCCAAAACAAUAUUUACAACGACUCUUUGUAAACCUAAGGAUUAAACUCUAAUCCCAGUGUAGCACACAGCCUCAACUGAUGCGACACUAUCAAGUUAACUCUAACUUGAUGACACAAGGUACCUAAUACAAUUUCCUCUAAUAAAUCUGAAAGGUACAAUUUGAAAACCUACUAUAAUUGAACUAAAAAAUAGAUGGAACCGGUUCUUAUCUCUUAGUCAUGUAGCUUCAGGUGUACACACUUGUAUCUUGCAUAUAUAGUUCGCAAAACAUACUCGCUUUAUUUGCUCUCAAAUAUGCUUUACUUAUUCUUGUGUGUGUUACCUGUAAAAGAGAACUAACACAAUA
RNAcentral lists this long non-coding RNA (499 nucleotides) under Nicotiana benthamiana. Its description in RNAcentral is "long non-coding RNA (NBEN_LNC027247)". The record is from RNAcentral. Lineage: Eukaryota; Viridiplantae; Streptophyta; Magnoliopsida; Solanales; Solanaceae.